This 72-nucleotide transfer RNA is filed under the name Pangasianodon hypophthalmus (striped catfish). It matches the Rfam family "tRNA". From Rfam's summary of the family: Transfer RNA (tRNA) molecules are approximately 80 nucleotides in length. Their secondary structure includes four short double-helical elements and three loops (D, anti-codon, and T loops). The record is from Rfam by way of RNAcentral. Lineage: Eukaryota; Metazoa; Chordata; Actinopteri; Siluriformes; Pangasiidae.
UCCCUGGACGACUAGUGGUUAGGCCACUGCGCUCUCACCGCCACAGCCCAGGUUCAAGUCCCGGCCAGGGAA